Musa acuminata AAA Group (dessert banana) is the source of this 2016-nucleotide RNA transcript. RefSeq lists it as uncharacterized. The record is from RefSeq and is a predicted model, not a curated record. The transcript has 9 exons. NCBI's taxonomy places the organism in Eukaryota, Viridiplantae, Streptophyta, Magnoliopsida, Zingiberales, Musaceae.
CAUUUGGGUUCGUUCGAAACCGGAGGGAACGGUUUCCAACCCCCGUCCACCCGAGCCCUGAUCGCAGCGGGUCUUCCCCUCGGCGCUGCGGCAUUUUCCUCGCGAACAGCGGCUAUAGGCGAACGGCGGCGGGGUCUCCCUCCGGAGAUCAUUUCCUCGAAUCUUCGACGUGAAACAUAAUCUGUGUUGGGGUGAGGGAUUCGUGGUCGUCAGCAGAGGGAGGGCACAUUCCAGUAGUGCAAUCAUGGAUGUUGAUUCACAGCCAAACAUAGAAGAAACAAUUCUAGUAGGUGAUGACCUUAUGCUGGGGCUCCCUUCACCUAUUAUUCCACCGGAGAUUGCAUCUCAUGUUCUUGAAGGUGUUGAUUUAUGUGAUGGAGUGCUAAGGAAUCUUUUUUUAUGCUUGCAAAUCAAUGAUAUUGAACCAUUUUGCCAAGAUGAGAUUGUUUUGUAUCGAGAGUGUGCUGAGAAAAGGGAUAAAGAGUUAAGACAGAGACUUUCAGAUAGUGAACAUAAAUUGGGGCUGUCCAUGCCCAUUGAAGAAGCAAAGGAAAGAGCUGCUCAACUUCAAUCAGAAGUUACAUCUCUAGAAAGGCACAUGAUUCUUGCAAGUGGAAUUCAAGGCAUGGAAGGAUUUCGUCAGCGCUGGAGCUUGCAUGGACGUCUUGAGGAUACCAAAAGAAGAAUGGAAGCUUUAAACCAGGGAAUAGAAAAGAGGAAACCUGACAAGAUCCACGGAGAGCCAGUUAGAAAAAAAUGGUUUUUUUGGUAGAUUUUUUUGCUCUCUUGAGAUUUCUGAUUCUCAAGAAGAAGGUGUAGAAACAGGACUUCCUGAUAGACUCUGAAGGCCCACUUCACCUUCCACCGAAGAACCGAGUCAACUCUAAGCAAAUCUUCACUGCUGGAAAGGGUGCCUCCACCACCAACCCUAACCAAACAUCAUAACAAUGGCUCCUAAUUCCUACAAAUAAUGCAAUAGGUGGAGGCGACGCCGGUGAAGAGGCUGUGCAGGACCCACAACAUCAUCACAGUCAACGGCCAGUCAGUAACCCGGCAUGACGCGGGCGACGCUCGUGGUCAACGGUUGACGUCAACGGGGCUAAGUACCACGUCACGCUUCACGUGCCGGUUCACGAUCGAGGAGCACGAAGGCACGGUGUGGUGGUGGCACGCACACAGCUCCUGGCUGAGAGCCACCCUGCACGGCGCUUUCGUCAUCCACCCUAAACACAGCUGCUCCUACCCUUUCCCCAAGCCCAACAAAGAGUUCCCCCCCUUAUCCCCGGUAAUAUUCCUCUUCCUCUUCUGGUUCAAGGUGGUCGUAACUCUGCAAACACAUGGUUGCAUGGCCACACCAAGUCCUUGACUGUGACGUAAAGAAGAGGAGACUGACCUUGCAUGAUAACACAACUCUGAAACCUGAUCUGUCUCAUGCCUUCACCGUCAAUGGCCUGCCGGCGAUCUCUAAAGAGGAAGAGUACUUUGGUCUCUCUUCCUUAUCUCAACUCUUGCAAUGGAGACAUCUCAAGCAACCAGUGAGCCCGUUCCUUCUUCCCAACUUGUCAACAAGCGAAGCCUGCUGAGCUCUCUUAUGGAAGCCACAGCCACGGCUGCCUCCACCAUCCCUGACCGACCCCCUUCGAUCAAGGAGGACACCUACCCCCUAUCCACCAAGUCCUCCGAGCAUAAGGCACUUUGGGAACCCACGCUCAUCUCCAAGAUGAGGCGCAGGACAUGCUGGUGCGGUGCGCGGAGUGGCAACGAGAGUUUGACGUCGAUAGGGCGGCCGGGGAGGAGCUGGUGGGGUUCAAGAAGCUGGAGGGCAUGGUGGCGUAGCUGGGACCGGCAGCCACCCAUGUGCUACAAGCAUCUUUAGGGGUAAGAUCGUGUAAGAGCACGAGCAACGCCGAGAAGCUACAAUGCUUUCUGAUAGAAGCUCGUGAUAUAAAGAAAUAUGGGAUGAUAAAUUUAUAUUUAUUACAUAUUCUAAUCCUCCAUCAAUCUAUAAUUUUAGAA